Molecule: non-coding RNA, 32 nt
Filed under: Escherichia coli
Lineage: Bacteria; Pseudomonadati; Pseudomonadota; Gammaproteobacteria; Enterobacterales; Enterobacteriaceae
Source: RNAcentral
CUUUCGCAGACGCGCGGCGAUACGCUCACGCA